GUGGUUGUAGCUCAGUUGGUUAGAGCGUCAGAUUGUGGUCCUGAAGGUCGCCGGUUCGAUCCCGGUCAUCCACC
Molecule: transfer RNA, 74 nt
Filed under: Riemerella columbina
Lineage: Bacteria; Pseudomonadati; Bacteroidota; Flavobacteriia; Flavobacteriales; Weeksellaceae
Also listed under: 2 other names
Description: tRNA-His
Rfam family: tRNA
About the family: Transfer RNA (tRNA) molecules are approximately 80 nucleotides in length. Their secondary structure includes four short double-helical elements and three loops (D, anti-codon, and T loops).
Source: RNAcentral